RNAcentral lists this unclassified non-coding RNA (160 nucleotides) under uncultured Xenochalara. RNAcentral describes it as "sequence contains ITS1". Lineage: Eukaryota; Fungi; Ascomycota. The record is from RNAcentral.
CAGAGAACAUCGCCCUCACGGGUGACUCUCCAACCCAAUGUUAUAUUAUACCUUUGUUGCUUUGGCGAGCCGUCUCGGCCACCGGCUCACGCUGGUGAGUGCUCGCCAGAGAACCCAAAACUCUGAAUUAUAAUGCCGUCUGAGUACUAUAUAAUAGUUA